UACCUACGGGGGGCAGCAGUGAGGAAUAUUGGUCAAUGGACGAGAGUCUGAACCAGCCAAGUAGCGUGAAGGAUGACUGCCCUAUGGGUUGUAAACUUCUUUUAUAUGGGAAUAAAGUUUUCCACGUGUGGAAUUUUGUAUGUACCAUAUGAAUAAGGAUCGGCUAACUCCGUGCCAGCAGCCGCGGUAAUACGGAGGAUCCGAGCGUUAUCCGGAUUUAUUGGGUUUAAAGGGAGCGUAGAUGGGUUGUUAAGUCAGUUGUGAACGUUUGCGGCUCAACCGUAAAAUUGCAAUUGAUACUGGCG
Molecule: ribosomal RNA, 305 nt
Filed under: uncultured bacterium
Lineage: Bacteria
Description: bacterial SSU rRNA
Rfam family: Bacterial small subunit ribosomal RNA
Source: RNAcentral